Molecule: unclassified non-coding RNA, 301 nt
Filed under: Hevea brasiliensis (rubber tree)
Lineage: Eukaryota; Viridiplantae; Streptophyta; Magnoliopsida; Malpighiales; Euphorbiaceae
Source: RNAcentral
AAUAAAAUAAAAAUAAACUAUUAAAAAUUUAAGAUAGUAAUAUAUCAAUACUUAAAUAGUCUUUUGACGUCUCAAAACUAAAGUCAAGCAAUAAUAAAAUAACUACGCUUCAGUCUUCAUCAAGAGUAGCUUCAUAAUCUUUCUAGUCUUCUUCUGCACCUGCCCUCUUGAUACUUAUCUUUAAAAUCAAAUAAUCAACAUCUUCCUUAUCUUCCUCAUCUCUAAAAACUAAAGGAGUAUUAGUUCUCGAGUUAGUGCAUGAUACUUUUUCUUUUUCGAUUGGCAUAGAUCUUGAAAUAGG